This 216-nucleotide ribosomal RNA is filed under the name Glomeromycotina sp. Its description in RNAcentral is "partial small subunit ribosomal RNA". The stretch from base 40 to 216 matches the Rfam family "Eukaryotic small subunit ribosomal RNA", at positions 686 to 864 of the family's 1831-position model. The record is from RNAcentral. Lineage: Eukaryota; Fungi; Glomeromycota.
GGGUCAGUAGGUUGGUCGUGCCACCGGUACGUACUGGUCUCACUGAUUCCUCCUUCCUGAAGAACCGUAAUGCCGUUAAUUUGGUGUUGCGGGGAAACAGGACUGUUACUUUGAAAAAAUUAGAGUGUUUAACUCAAGCUAACGCUUGAAUACAUUAGCAUGGAAUAAUGAAGUAGGACGAUCGAUCCUAUUUUGUUGGUUUCUAGGAUUGACGUA